UUAGAAAUAAACUAUUCCCUAAAACAAACUUUUCCUUCCAAAUACAUUACUCCACUCUCUUUCCACGAUAAUUAGAAGAAAAAUAUGAGAGAGAGAGUAUUCACUCCAAACCUUAUCUCUCUCUCAUCAUCUUCUGAUCUCUCCCUUCUCAUAUGAAUUUCUCCCUCAACAAUCACCCUCGCCGAAGAUGAGUGGUGGACGGUGGCAGUGGCGCCACCGCCAUCCCCUUCGGCGGCUAACAACUGAAAAUACCUAAACCCUACAAACAAACCCCCACCAUUUUUUUUUGUGUUCUUUCCCAAUCUAAACUUCGUUUCAUCAAAAAACCAACCUAAACAUAGAUCAAACGAUCCCAAAAAUAAAAAAUCCUAAAACCUAUAACACAAACCCCUAUGUAAUAGCCAUUAACAAUAAACCAAAACACAUGAGACAAAACAACGAGGGGCGAGUUCGAAGAAACACCACAGUAAAUCAAGAAGAAAAAAAAUCAAGAUCUCACAGAUGUUCAGGCACAAGAAGAACUACCUAGAUGUUCAGGCACAACAACAAUCGCUCCCUAGCCCUCUGCUUCGAUUUCGAAGUUUGGAUAAGUCAAAAGAUGGAGGAAAGAUUCCAUUAUGUGCAAGGUUUUACACAUGAAGACAAAGGCCAAGUCACAAUCUUGCAAAAACAAAAGGGCCUACACUCUUGAGAAUAUUUUGCUUACUAUUUUUUCUGAUUAAAUGUAAAAAAAUGUAAUUCACAAUGUGUUAAGUUCUCUUAGUUAUUGAACUUAAUUAUAGAACUUAGUGUAACAAAAUGUUAUUUCUCUUAAAUUAGACCAUUUAUUUUAACUCA
Molecule: long non-coding RNA, 837 nt
Organism: Lathyrus oleraceus (garden pea)
Lineage: Eukaryota; Viridiplantae; Streptophyta; Magnoliopsida; Fabales; Fabaceae
Exons: 2
Source: RefSeq, a predicted model, not a curated record